UACGUAGGGACCAAGCGUUGUUCGGAUUUACUGGGCGUAAAGGGCGCGUAGGCGGCUUAACAAGUCACUUGUGAAAUCUCCGGGCUUAACUCGGAACGGCCAAGUGAAACUGUUAAGCUAGAGUGCGGAAGGGGCAAUCGGAAUUCUUGGUGUAGCGGUGAAAUGCGUAGAUAUCAAGAGGAACACCUGAGGUGAAGACGGGUUGCUGGGCCGACACUGACGCUGAUGCGCGAAAGCCAGGGGAGCAAACGGG
RNAcentral lists this ribosomal RNA (253 nucleotides) under uncultured bacterium. RNAcentral describes it as "partial 16S ribosomal RNA". It matches the Rfam family "Bacterial small subunit ribosomal RNA", at positions 524 to 776 of the family's 1533-position model. The record is from RNAcentral.